CGACGGCGCACGGGUGAGUAACACGUAUGGAACCUGCCCGCAGCAGGGGGAUAAGCGGAAGAAAUUCCGUCUAAUACCGCGUAACACCGCAGAGGGGCAUCCCUCGGCGGUUAAAGAUUCAUCGGCUGCGGAUGGCCAUGCGGCGCAUUAGCUAGUCGGCGGGGUAACGGCCCACCGAGGCGACGAUGCGUAGGGGUUCUGAGAGGAAGGUCCCCCACACUGGUACUGAGACACGGACCAGACUCCUACGGGAGGCAGCAG
RNAcentral lists this ribosomal RNA (261 nucleotides) under uncultured bacterium. Its description in RNAcentral is "partial 16S ribosomal RNA". It matches the Rfam family "Bacterial small subunit ribosomal RNA", at positions 93 to 354 of the family's 1533-position model. The record is from RNAcentral.